AUUAACUAUCCACAUACUUCAGGUGGAAGGGGUUUUCAAUCACAAUUUUCCCCCACCAUAACCUAAUUGGAUUUUGCUUCCCAAGCACUACCAAGCCUCACUAAGCAAACCAGUAACCAACCUCAUGCUGAAGAGUUGCAUUAACAACGAAACAGCUGUCCAUGAGUGGUUCACUGGUUUUGCAUCUUUUCCUAUAUUGUGUUUCAAGCUGUUGUAUACAGCAAACACAGAUUAAAAUGAAUCCAUGUUUAAAAUGGAAUGAGGCAAAAAUGUGAUUCUUUGUUAAACUAAUUUGCAUAUGCCCACCCAGAAUCCUUUGCGGUU
Pelobates cultripes (western spadefoot toad) is the source of this 324-nucleotide non-coding RNA. The record is from the annotation of a GenBank genome assembly. NCBI's taxonomy places the organism in Eukaryota, Metazoa, Chordata, Amphibia, Anura, Pelobatidae.